This is a long non-coding RNA of Uranotaenia lowii, 988 nucleotides long. RefSeq lists it as uncharacterized. Lineage: Eukaryota; Metazoa; Arthropoda; Insecta; Diptera; Culicidae. The record is from RefSeq and is a predicted model, not a curated record. The transcript is spliced from 4 exons.
UCAGUAAAGUUAUGUCUGGGUCAGCGCUGUUCAAGAAAUUCUUCCAUUCUCUUGACCUGGGCUUUUAAAACACAACCCUAUACUUCAUGCGCACUGCUGAAACGGAUCCGCAUAAUUAUAACAUCAUUCGUCCUCGCCUUGGAGAAGAUUUGCCCUUCGCUGAGCACUGUCAUAAAGAAUCUGCUGCGUGUUGAAGAUCUGAAUGAUUUAGCAAUCAAGAUGCUGCGUAUCACAACCAAACAGCAUGAACGUCGACCAUUUCACCAAGCGGGCUCCGCUUGUUUGAUGAUGAUCCAGUUCAUUUAGUGCGUGCAUUGUUAACCCCAAAUCGGCGAAAAGGGUGAGGCAAAACAAUCAGCUUAUUCAAAAGCUGUCAUAUUAAGAUGAAACAUUUGGUAUGUAGCAUCUGGUUUUCAGAACUGGCUGAGUAUGGCAAAAUUCUAAAAAUUAGCAACGAUGUUAGACAUCCAAAAUUCAAACGAAGAAAUGAAUUAUUCUAGAUUCACCACUUUUACUAUCGAAGGGAGCUGGAAGUUACCGACAAAAAUGGUGUUGCAACCACAAUUUAAGAAACAUCGUUGACAAAGCUAUUCCGAUGUGCACUCGCUGUGCUCAUUCUCCCACACGCGGUGCAUAAGACCGGCAAUGACUUCAUUCUAGACUCGGUUUUGAUGGUUAAAUAAUCUGAAAACAACAUCCGAUUGAUUGUUGCAAAAUGCUCCAGCUGCAAUUAACUACAACUACUUUUUUCACUAUUUACGAGAAAGGCGGCCGUUCUUAUUGGAUGCCGUUAAACCACCCUUUACCCAAUGGAACAGGAGGGUCGCAUUAUAAAAAAGGAAUACGACGAGCAAUUCACGGUGGCGAAAUUCCUUUCGUUACAGUUUGUCUAGACAACGCUGGCGAACAAUCUGGUUAGGCGACCAAGGCACUGAUUCGAUUUAUUUUAGAGGUGGAUGCGGUAGAGUUAUAAGACUUCAAAUAAGGA